RNAcentral lists this small nucleolar RNA (92 nucleotides) under Macleaya cordata. Lineage: Eukaryota; Viridiplantae; Streptophyta; Magnoliopsida; Ranunculales; Papaveraceae. The record is from RNAcentral.
GAGGAGGCUGUGAUGUUGCAAAAACUACCUAUUUUCUGAGGAAAGAUCUUUCCUUUGAUUAUAGAUACCAAUGGAUCCUUCUGAGCUCUUCU